GAAGGAUUGAAACAUCGAGUUCAAAACUUGCAUUGUUCUUUCAACUUGACAUGGAGGUGACACGCGCAUGUUACAAAAACUCACAUGUAAUUUUAUUCCUAGAUUAGAGUCUUUUCCAGUACCAUUAUGGCAACCUCAACAUAUUCUGAGUGUGACAGCUGCGAUGCCUGGUUUUUACCAGAAAGGACCACAAGUCCUAGUUGCUACAUAAACUACUCAUGAAAUCUGCCCCUUGAUGUGGGCACUUGAUUCCAGAAUGGACACGACAAGGCAAUUAGAAAAUAAUGAGGAGAUUGCUGGUUCAUCUGAACUUCCGGUGGAUAUCAGAGAUUGGGCUCCAGAUCAUGUGAGACAGUGGAUGAUUGAGAUAAAAGUGGACAAGGAAG
This 386-nucleotide long non-coding RNA is filed under the name Danio rerio (zebrafish). RNAcentral describes it as "lncRNA si:ch73-59f11.2 (ENSDARG00000098397.2)". The record is from RNAcentral. Lineage: Eukaryota; Metazoa; Chordata; Actinopteri; Cypriniformes; Danionidae.